Long non-coding RNA from Zea mays, 3325 nucleotides. RefSeq lists it as uncharacterized. The transcript has 8 exons. Lineage: Eukaryota; Viridiplantae; Streptophyta; Magnoliopsida; Poales; Poaceae. The record is from RefSeq and is a predicted model, not a curated record.
CAGGGGCGUCGAGGAGGCGGACGGCAACAAGCCCACACAUCCAACACCCUACCAGGUCUUUGAUGCUGCUGCUUCACCAAACAAUGAAAUGCUCUUGAUGCAUGAUUCAGGAGCUAGGAGGAUAUCUAUUGUCGUCGAGUUACAUGAAGUUGACUUUCCUCUGCUGCUGUUGUGCUCAGUGUGGAUGACAUUGUGCUGCCUCAGGCAAUGUCAACCUCAACACCUUGAUGAACAUGUUCAGUGUGCUUGGUGAUGGUGGUGGCCUUGGUGGUCGAAAUGCUUCUAAUGGCUCUGGACCGCCAUGCUUGCGUCUGCCGCGGGACGUCCACGCCGCCAUCGCCCGUGAGCAGCUCCGACAGCCUCAUCGUCGCGUUGCACCUGCACUUGUGUCGCAGGCUCGGGUUACCGUCGGUGCUCACGCCGAGGAAGGCAUGAUCCAUGCGGAGCAGCCCAAGGCGCGAUGCCACCUCCGCUGUCACGCAUGAUGAGCUGCUUCGCCUCUGGCACCGCCUUGUUCCUUCGCGAUCUCACAUUGGACGGUGGAUGAACUUGGGCUUCCAAGAUCCGUAAUACAAGCUGCGGACAAAACCUGUAAACAUGCUGGAUGAACUGGAGCAGCUAUUGAAAGGUAACUCUAUGGUGAAAGAGCUAACGCCUAGGACAAAUGACUACCUUGUUUCAUUUCGAGAAUGCAUGUCCACCAUGAUUUUAUCUGUUAAUUUGAACAAAAUUCAUGUCAAAGCACGAUAGGUACUUCUUGAUAUUUCCUUGAUUUGCACAGUGAUUGAGUGAGCUUUUAAGGGUACGAAUGUAGCAGCCUAGAAUAAUUCUAUAUUUACUUACUACUAUAAAGAGCGGGAGCAAAAUAUAGCUAUACAGUUGAUGUAUAUUUAGCAUAUCAAACAAUGCUCAAGAUACUUAAUUAAUUGCAUACUAUAGUUAGGCUGUAUAUACCAAUGCAAUGGUCACUAGCAAGAUAAUGCAGCCUCACAGUCUUAUGACAUCAGCCAAUAUAUAAAUUAGACCAUUUUUGUUGCUGCAACUGCAACUAAUACUAUGUUGAAGUGUUUUUUGUUAACUCUGCUCUGAAAAUGCUUUUUUGCUUCACUCUUUGACAUAUCUAUAUGACUAUAUAGCUGAUGCCUGUUUUUACUAUAUGCUUAUCAUGAAUCUCAUGUUUUCCAUAUGAAUAAUGCUAGCUGUUGCAACAUCUUCGUUGGAGCUAAUGAUACAUUUAAUCCUAGACUUGAUGGCAAAGAACGGGUGCAAUUUUUUGUCUCUCUAUUUCCUAUUUAUGUUGCACAAAUAAUUGUUUCCUUUUGUUAUCCAAACAAAUAAUUACUUCCUUCUCUCCACCCUUUUCUCCAGUUGUAGCGAGUGAGUUUUAGUAAGGGAUAAACAAUAGUAGGAAGAACUCUGUUGUGUUUCAAUCUCGAGUAUUUGAUGGAUGGGGCAUUGUUCUAUAGAUGGUGUAUACAUAAAUGAUCUUAACUGUCAUUUUGGUCAAAACCACAAUAGUUCUACUUAUGUUAGAAAAUCAAAAGAUUUAAGUGUCUUCCACGGUUUAAAGUUCAUGAUGAGCAAAUUUGACUUAUUUUUAAUUGUUUAUCAUAUUUUGAGAAUAAUUUUGCUGCCUAUUCAACAGAUACCAUGGGGGGAGCAUUUGAUCUAGCUAGCUGGCAAACAAGAUUUGGUGGUAACUGUUUAUGAUGAAACAAAUAUUUCGAAUCAUUAAUUGCUAUGUUUGUGUCUGCAUCCUGUCAGCAAUUAGGAUGUGACAGGACAUGGCCUCCCUCCAAUGCAAAAAUCCCAAAAGCUCCUUGCAGACACACUUAUUUGCAUUCUUUGCGCUGACAUGCAGUUAGGAUGCGACAGGGCCUCCCUCCAAUGCAAAAUCACAUUAACCAUGUCACCGCUGUCAAUUGUUUUCUUGAGUUUGUUCCCAAAACCUCUUAAUUAUUAUUGCCCACGGAUAGUCAUGUUAUCUACAUAAUCCGUUUUUGCCACUCUUCAGGGUUCUGCAUUGUGAAUAGAGGUUCAUCUUUGUGAUUAGAUUGCCACCGCCGCUGCUUUCUACUCAUUCGACGAAUGUUUUGCAAAGAAGAAAUCUGGUUUAUCUUACCCUCGAUUCCUUCCUAUGAUACAACUAACAAAAUGAAUUGGUACAUUCAGGUAUCUUUAAAACCUUUUCACUUCCAAAUUAGAAUGAUAUCAUGCUCAAGAGGUAACAUUUUCUGAUGUUUUUUAUUUUAAUAGUAAUUAUUGGUUGCUGACUUCUUUAAAACUAUUUGUGUCGUACUUCAAGCAUCUUCUACACUGCAGCUAAGCUUUGAAGAGUUAUGGUCUCAUAUAAAAUAGGUAAUUUUGUACUAAUUGUUUUCUUUAUUUUCCCAAAUGUGUGCCACUUCCUUUAGUAUUUUUGCAGUGCAGACGAUUGAAAACUACUGUUUUAUAUCACCUCUCUGUCAUAGGAAUAGUUUACUACUCUAAUGCUCAUUCUAUUAACACUAACAAAAAGAUAUAUCGCUUGAAAACAGGUAUGUAUUUCAAUCUUCUAGAUUUAUAUUUCUUUCUUUAUAUAUACAAAACAGAAACGAUUGAAAACUAUUGUUUCCCGUCACCUCCUGUCGUAGUAAGUGUUUCCCGUCACCUCUCUGUCGUAGGAAGAAUUUACUGCCCUAUUACUCAUCUUAUUAACUCUGACAAAAAAUCUCACUUUAAGAUAGGUACAUAUUUCAAUCUUAAUUCUAGAUUUAUGUUUCGUUCUGUACAUAGUGGUUUCAUUUUUUCUCCCCUUUCUCUCGUCAUAUGAAUAUUUUACUCCAUUGGCUGUUCUAUUUACUUUAAAAACGUGCCAUAAAAUAUGUGUGUUUCACUAUUAAAAAAAUAUCCCUUCACUUAUGUAUUAGUGUUAGAAUUACAAUUAUUUUUUCUUUUCCCAAAAGUUUAGAAAUGUUUUAAGCGAACUAUGGAUCUUUAUGUUUGUGAUAAUGUGUGCACAUCUUAGCCCCUCAAUAUGAGGAUUUCCAAUUUUCUACAAUGGUGGGAGAGAUCUUCAACUAUUGUUUCUGACACUUGAAAGGAUGGCUUGGACCCUCUUAUUAUCCUGGGAGCCUGGGUGGUUUGGAAGCAUAGAAACAGAGUGGUUUGGAAGCAUAGAAACAGAGUGAUGUUCGGUAGAGUUUCUUCCAACCUCACUCUUAUUCUGGAGUCCGCUAAUGAGGAAAGCGAGAAAUGGCAAGCUGCAGGAGCCAAGGGUUAUCCUUUCUGGCUGCUCCAAGCCAUAUAAUUUAGGGUGGUUGGAUCCUUCAUGGAUAUUUUCAUG